This 121-nucleotide transfer RNA is filed under the name Lentinula aciculospora. It matches the Rfam family "tRNA". From Rfam's summary of the family: Transfer RNA (tRNA) molecules are approximately 80 nucleotides in length. Their secondary structure includes four short double-helical elements and three loops (D, anti-codon, and T loops). Further hydrogen bonds mediate the characteristic L-shaped molecular structure. tRNAs have two regions of fundamental functional importance: the anti-codon, which is responsible for specific mRNA codon recognition, and the 3' end, to which the tRNAs corresponding amino acid is attached (by aminoacyl-tRNA synthetases). tRNAs cope with the degeneracy of the genetic code in two manners: having more than one tRNA (with a specific anti-codon) for a particular amino acid; and 'wobble' base-pairing, i.e. permitting non-standard base-pairing at the 3rd anti-codon position. The record is from Rfam by way of RNAcentral. Lineage: Eukaryota; Fungi; Basidiomycota; Agaricomycetes; Agaricales; Omphalotaceae.
GGGCAUGUAGUGUAGGAGUUAUCGCGUUCGCUUCGCAAUUUUCCAAAAUGCCUUCCGCGGAUUUGGAUAAUUGUAUAACGUGCUUUGCGAAAGGUCUCCGGUUCGAUUCCGUACUUGUCCA